AUUGAACGCUGGCGGCAGGCCUAACACAUGCAAGUCGAGCGGAUGAAGGGAGCUUGCUCCUGGAUUCAGCGGCGGACGGGUGAGUAAUGCCUAGGAAUCUGCCUGGUAGUGGGGGAUAACGUCCGGAAACGGGCGCUAAUACCGCAUACGUCCUGAGGGAGAAAGUGGGGGAUCUUCGGACCUCACGCUAUCAGAUGAGUCUAGGUCGGAUUAGCUAGUUGGUGGGGUAAAGGCCUACCUAGGCGACGAUCCGUAACUGGUCUGAGAGGAUGAUCGGUCACACUGGAACUGAGACACGGUCCAGACUCCUACGGGAGGCAGCAGUGGGGAAUAUUGGACAAUGGGCGAAAGCAUGAUCCAGCCAUGCCGCGUGUGUGGAGAAAGUCUUCGGAUUGUAAAGCACUUUAAGUUGGGAGGAAGGGCAGUAAGUUAAUACCUUGCUGUUUUGACGUUACCAACAGAAUAAGCACCGGCUAACUUCGUG
RNAcentral lists this ribosomal RNA (484 nucleotides) under uncultured bacterium. Its description in RNAcentral is "partial 16S ribosomal RNA". It matches the Rfam family "Bacterial small subunit ribosomal RNA", at positions 30 to 507 of the family's 1533-position model. The record is from RNAcentral.